GUUCCCAUUCCGAACACGGCCGUGAAACGCCCCAGCGCCAAUGGUACUCCGUCUUAAGACGCGGGAGAGUAGGUCGCUGCCAGGU
This 85-nucleotide ribosomal RNA is filed under the name Agrobacterium rubi. The record is from RNAcentral. Lineage: Bacteria; Pseudomonadati; Pseudomonadota; Alphaproteobacteria; Hyphomicrobiales; Rhizobiaceae.